AGAGUUUGAUCCUGGCUCAGGAUGAACGCUGGCGGCAUGCCUAAUACAUGCAAGUCGAACGAGGAUCCUUCGGGAUCCUAGUGGCGAACGGGUGAGUAACACGUAGGGAACCUGCCCGCGCACCGGGAAUACGCUCUGGAAACGGAGAACAAAUCCCGAUGUACAGGAAGGAGGCAUCUUCUUUCUGUGAAACAUCCUGUAAGGGAUGGGGCGCGGAUGGACCUGCGGUGCAUUAGUUGGUUGGCGAGGGUAAAGGCCCACCAAGACGAUGAUGCAUAGCCGGCCUGAGAGGGCGGACGGCCACAUUGGGACUGAGACACGGCCCAGACUCCUGCGGGAGGCAGCAGUAGGGAAUUUUCGUCAAUGGGCGCAAGCCUGAACGAGCGAUGCCGCGUGAGUGAAGAAGGCCUUCGGGUCGUAAAGCUCUGUUGCGGGGGAAAAAAGGCAACUACAGGAAAUGGUAGAUGACAGAUGGUGCCCCGCCAGAAAGUCACGGCUAACUACGUGCCAGCAGCCGCGGUAAUACGUAGGUGGCGAGCGUUAUCCGGAAUGAUUGGGCGUAAAGGGUGCGCAGGCGGUCCUGCAAGUCUGGAGUGAAACGUAUGAGCUCAACUCAUGCAUGGCUCUGGAAACUGGAGGACUGGAGAGCAGGAGAGGGCGGUGGAACUCCAUGUGUAGCGGUAAAAUGCGUAGAUAUAUGGAAGAACACCAGUGGCGAAGGCGGCCGCCUGGCCUGUUGCUGA
Molecule: ribosomal RNA, 743 nt
Filed under: uncultured bacterium
Lineage: Bacteria
Description: bacterial SSU rRNA
Rfam family: Bacterial small subunit ribosomal RNA
Source: RNAcentral